UUUUGGUUUUUUUUUUUUUUGUCUUUAAGCACGAUUAAGGUGGGAGUUGAAGGAAACGUGAUAAAAGUAUUUGGAGGCAGAAAGGCGGGCUCAAGAGAGACUCAAGUUCCAGUGAGGACCCAAGUGACAGCCACUCUGACAGUGAUGUGGAGCAAGAACAGUGGAUGGAGGAAACGGCAGAUUUGGGAAGGCCUCAUUGCUAGGUGAAUGCACUGCCAUGGCUGCCUACAUGAAUGCUGAGGCUGGCUAGCAUCAUGGUGCGAGUGGACCGACCGAUGUGAUCCAAAGUGAAGAGGCAGGUUACGUCAUAAAGAGCACAGACCACCUCACAUGAAAGCUGUGGGUAUGCUCCAGGAGA
Molecule: unclassified non-coding RNA, 358 nt
Filed under: Acanthaster planci (crown-of-thorns starfish)
Lineage: Eukaryota; Metazoa; Echinodermata; Asteroidea; Valvatida; Acanthasteridae
Description: monocarboxylate transporter 11-like, transcript variant X1
Source: RNAcentral